RNAcentral lists this ribosomal RNA (508 nucleotides) under uncultured bacterium. Its description in RNAcentral is "partial 16S ribosomal RNA". It matches the Rfam family "Bacterial small subunit ribosomal RNA", at positions 28 to 507 of the family's 1533-position model. The record is from RNAcentral.
GACGAACGCUGGCGGCGUGCCUAAUACAUGCAAGUCGAACGCUUCUUUCCUCCCGAGUGCUUGCACUCAAUUGGAAAGAGGGGUGGCGGACGGGUGAGUAACACAUGGGUAACCUACCCAUCAGAGGGGGAUAACACUUGGAAACAGGUGCUAAUACCGCAUAACAGUUUAUGCCGCAUGGCAUAAGAGUGAAAGGCGCUUUCGGGUGUCGUUGAUGGAUGGAGCCGCGGUGCAUUAGCUAGUUGGUGAGGUAACGGCUCACCAAGGCCACGAUGCAUAGCCGACCUGAGAGGGUGAUCCGCCACACUGGGACUGAGACACGGCCCAGACUCCUACGGGAGGCAGCAGUAGGGAAUCUUCUGCAAAGGACGAAAGUCUGACCGAGCAACGCCGCGUGAGUGAAGAAGAUUUUCGGAUCGUAAAACUCUGUUGUUGGAGAAGAACAAGCACGUGAGUAACUGAACGUCCCCUGACGGUAGCUAAGCAGAAAGCCACGGCUAACUACGUG